UUGAACGCUGGCGGCAGGCCUCACACAUGCAAGUCGAGCGGAUGAAGGGAGCUUGCUCCUGGAUUCAGCGGCGGACGGGUGAGUAAUGCCUAGGAAUCUGCCUGGUAGUGGGGGAUAACGUCCGGAAACGGGCGCUAAUACCGCAUACGUCCUGAGGGAGAAAGUGGGGGAUCUUCGGACCUCACGCUAUCAGAUGAGCCUAGGUCGGAUUAGCUAGUUGGUGGGGUAAAGGCCUACCAAGGCGACGAUCCGUAACUGGUCUGAGAGGAUGAUCAGUCACACUGGAACUGAGACACGAUCCAGACUCCUACGGGAGGCAGCAGUGGGGAAUAUUGGACAAUGGGCGAAAGCCUGAUCCAGCCAUGCCGCGUGUGUGAAGAAGGUCUUCGGAUUGUAAAGCACUUUAAGUUGGGAGGAAGGGCAGUAAGUUAAUACCUUGCUGUUUUGACGUUACCAACAGAAUAAGCACCGGCUAACUUCGUG
This 483-nucleotide ribosomal RNA is filed under the name uncultured bacterium. Its description in RNAcentral is "partial 16S ribosomal RNA". It matches the Rfam family "Bacterial small subunit ribosomal RNA", at positions 30 to 507 of the family's 1533-position model. The record is from RNAcentral.